Molecule: non-coding RNA, 252 nt
Organism: Pelobates cultripes (western spadefoot toad)
Lineage: Eukaryota; Metazoa; Chordata; Amphibia; Anura; Pelobatidae
Source: the annotation of a GenBank genome assembly
AAUUAUCUCCAGGGCAGAGAGGAGGGAUUGUGAUGCAUUGUGGGAUGGUUGAAAUGUGUAAGUCUGUGAUUGGUCCUUUUACCCUUUGUGUCCCAGUCUCCCAUUUGGUCCCCUAGGGGAGACCUGCAUAAAAGCCGGGCAGUUAGCCCCAGUAAAUCAGUUCCUGCUUAACCCUCAAAGUGAAGUGUUGUCUCAUUAUUGGGGGAGGAUUUAUUGUAUGCUGUUCCAGUUUGACUGCUAGGAGUGUAAACC